CUAAGCUAACGCGGUAAGCGAGCCGCCUGGGUAGUACGAUCGCAAGAUUAAAACUCAAAGGAAUAGACGGGGACUCGCACAAGCGGUGGAUUAUGUGGCUCAAUUCGAUGAUAAACGAAGAACCUUACCAAGGUUAGAAAUCUAGGUGAAGACACGCAGAAACGUGUGUCGUCCGCAAGGACAGUUAGACAGGUGAUGCAUGGCCGUCGUCAGUUCGUGAUUUGAAUUGUUCCCUUAAGUGGGGUAACGAACGCAACCCUCGUAGCCAGUUAUAAGUGUCUGGCGAGACUGCCCCCGCUUGAGUUCACUUCCGAAGAAGUAAUUUACAAUUUUCAGUUUCCAAUUUUCAUUGGAAAUUCUAAAUUGCAAAUUGAAAAUUUCGCGAAGCGAGUUCCAGCGGGGGAGGAAGGCGAGGAUGACGCCAGGUCAGCAUGUCCCUUGAUACCUUGGGCCACACGCAUAAUACAAUCGCAUCUACAACGGGUCGCGACGGGGUAACCCUGAGCUAAUCCUAAUAAAAGGUGCGUCAGUUCGGAUUGGGGGCUGAAACUCGACCCCAUGAAGUUGGAAUUGCUAGUAAUCGCGGGUCAGCUAUACCGCGGUGAAUACGUUCUCAAGUCUUGUACUCACAAUAAAAGCGCGCAGCAGCGCAUACAUCUAAGUG
This 664-nucleotide ribosomal RNA is filed under the name bacterium. RNAcentral describes it as "bacterial SSU rRNA". It matches the Rfam family "Bacterial small subunit ribosomal RNA", at positions 847 to 1533 of the family's 1533-position model. The record is from RNAcentral.